RNAcentral lists this ribosomal RNA (1450 nucleotides) under uncultured organism. Its description in RNAcentral is "SSU rRNA". It matches the Rfam family "Bacterial small subunit ribosomal RNA". The record is from RNAcentral.
GAACGCUGGCGGCGUGCUUAACACAUGCAAGUCGAGGGUUAUCAGGAAGAAAGCUUGCUUUCUUUGCUGGCGACCGGCGCACGGGUGAGUAACACGUAUCCAACCUGCCCUUUACUCGGGGAUAGCCUUUCGAAAGAAAGAUUAAUACCCGAUGGCAUAAUGAUUCCGCAUGGUUUCAUUAUUAAAGGAUUCCGGUAAAGGAUGGGGAUGCGUUCCAUUAGGUUGUUGGUGAGGUAACGGCUCACCAAGCCUUCGAUGGAUAGGGGUUCUGAGAGGAAGGUCCCCCACAUUGGAACUGAGACACGGUCCAAACUCCUACGGGAGGCAGCAGUGAGGAAUAUUGGUCAAUGGGCGCUAGCCUGAACCAGCCAAGUAGCGUGAAGGAUGAAGGCUCUAUGGGUCGUAAACUUCUUUUAUAUAAGAAUAAAGUGCAGUAUGUAUACUGUUUUGUAUGUAUUAUAUGAAUAAGGAUCGGCUAACUCCGUGCCAGCAGCCGCGGUAAUACGGAGGAUCCGAGCGUUAUCCGGAUUUUAUUGGGUUUAAAGGGAGCGUACGCGGACUAUUAAGUCAGCUGUGAAAAGUUUUGCGGCUCAACCGAAAAAUUGCAAGUUGAUACUGGUCGUCUUGAAGUGCAGUAAGAGGUAGGCGGAAUUCGUGGUGUAGCGGUGAAAUGCUUUAGAUAUCACGAAGAACUCCGAUUGCGAAGGCAGCUUACUGGACUGUAACUGACGCUGAUGCUCGAAAGUGUGGGUAUCAAACAGGAUUAGAUACCCUGGUAGUCCACACAGUAAACGAUGAAUACUCGCUGUUUGCGAUAUACAGCAAGCGGCCAAGCGAAAGCAUUAAGUAUUCCACCUGGGGAGUACGCCGGCAACGGUGAAACUCAAAGGAAUUGACGGGGGCCCGCACAAGCGGAGGAACAUGUGGUUUAAUUCGAUGAUACGCGAGGAACCUUACCCGGGCUUAAAUUGCAGUGGAAUGAUGUGGAAACAUGUCAGUGAGCAAUCACCGCUGUGAAGGUGCUGCAUGGUUGUCGUCAGCUCGUGCCGUGAGGUGUCGGCUUAAGUGCCAUAACGAGCGCAACCCUUAUCUUUAGUUACUAACAGGUUAUGCUGAGGACUCUAGAGAGACUGCCGUCGUAAGAUGUGAGGAAGGUGGGGAUGACGUCAAAUCAGCACGGCCCUUACGUCCGGGGCUACACACGUGUUACAAUGGGGGGUACAGAAGGCAGCUAGCGGGUGACCGUAUGCUAAUCCCAAAAGCCUCUCUCAGUUCGGAUCGAAGUCUGCAACCCGACUUCGUGAAGCUGGAUUCGCUAGUAAUCGCGCAUCAGCCACGGCGCGGUGAAUACGUUCCCGGGCCUUGUACACACCGCCCGUCAAGCCAUGGGAGCCGGGGGUACCUGAAGUACGUAACCGCAAGGAUCGUCCUAGGGUAAAACUGGUGACUG